CAAGAAUUCCUUAAUCGAAGAUGAUUUUAAGAUUAAAAAAACUACUCUGUCGUCUUACACAAUGGCCGUAUGGGUUUCGGAAAUACUAGAGUAAUUCGACAUGCUAAGGCCAAAUCAAGCCACCAUAUUUUCUGUUUCUCAACCAAUCUAGGCGCGGCCAGGGCAAACAACAGUAUGGGCCACCAUGGCUGGUGGGACUUGUACACACCCGC
Molecule: long non-coding RNA, 212 nt
Filed under: Sorghum bicolor (sorghum)
Lineage: Eukaryota; Viridiplantae; Streptophyta; Magnoliopsida; Poales; Poaceae
Description: long non-coding RNA (SBIC_LNC014913)
Source: RNAcentral